Molecule: ribosomal RNA, 399 nt
Filed under: uncultured Pseudomonas sp.
Lineage: Bacteria; Pseudomonadati; Pseudomonadota; Gammaproteobacteria; Pseudomonadales; Pseudomonadaceae
Description: bacterial SSU rRNA
Rfam family: Bacterial small subunit ribosomal RNA
Source: RNAcentral
ACAUGCAGAGAACUUUCCAGAGAUGGAUUGGUGCCUUCGGGAACUCUGACACAGGUGCUGCAUGGCUGUCGUCAGCUCGUGUCGUGAGAUGUUGGGUUAAGUCCCGUAACGAGCGCAACCCUUGUCCUUAGUUACCAGCACGUUAUGGUGGGCACUCUAAGGAGACUGCCGGUGACAAACCGGAGGAAGGUGGGGAUGACGUCAAGUCAUCAUGGCCCUCACGGCCUGGGCUACACACGUGCUACAGUGGUCGGUACAAAGGGUUGCCAAGCCGCGAGGUGGAGCUAAUCCCAUAAAACCGAUCGUAGUCCGGAUCGCAGUCUGCAACUCGACUGCGUGAAGUCGGAAUCGCUAGUAAUCGUGAAUCAGAAUGUCACGGUGAAUACGUUCCCGGGCCUU